UUUAACCCGUUAACCCGAUAUUUUUGAAUUUUAUAGCCGUUUUGUGACCGUUUGAGCUCCAAAAAAUUCGAAAAAAAUUGCAAAAAUCACCAUUUUUCACCUAUAAAUAGAGGAGCACCUUGCCCUUCCAUUCCACACCAGCAACACCAUUUUCUCUCUUGUUUCCUCCUCUCAUUCUUGUCUCAAAGUUUGUGAGAAUUAGCGAUAAUUUGGCAAAAUUAGUUUGAAUUGUUGCAAAAAAAUCCGAGCAAUUCCAAAAUCGUCAUCCUGCUGACUUGCUAUCUUGAAGUUGAAGAAAUCUUGUGUCAUUCGACAUUGAUCAUGGAUGCCGGUGAUCAUGAUACAUCCAUAGAUCAUGAUUUUUUUCUCCAAGGACUCACAGGGGACUACGGCCCCUUUGAUACCAGUGCUGCAGGUGAUGAUGGACCCGACGGUGAACCUCUGGUUGGUUCACAUCCAGAUCCAGGUGAUGCAGCAGCAGUUCCAUCGUCAGGCUCUACAAGUGCGCACACAUUAGCAAGCAGCGGGUCUAAAAGAUCAAGAGCCGGUACUUCCGAAGUUUGGCAAGACUUUGAAAGGAUCUACAAAGAGGAAGAUGGGGUAAGUGUCAGGUAUGCUAGGUGUUAUAUUUGUAAAAAUGAAUUAUCUGCAAAGCCCUCGGGUGGAACGGGGCACUUGAAGAGGCACGCCAUAAGUUGCAAGCGAAAGAGUGGAGCAGCCAUGAAGCAGACGGUGUUGCAGUACAACCCCGAUGGCUCUGUUCAUCAUUGGGAGUACGACUCUGCCAAUGCUCGAAAAGAGCUAUGUCGCUUCAUUGCAAGAGCGGAUCUACCACUCAAUAUCGGUGAGUCUGCUGCAUUUGAAGAUUACAUUAAGCAAGCUCAUAAUCCUAGGUUCACGCAUGUUUCUAGACAGACAACUAGUAGGGAUAUGGUAAAAUACUACAAUACGUGUCGUAGCAAACUUAAAGAAAUAUUGCAAACAUGUACAUUUUCAGUUGCUUUGACCUCGGACAUAUGGGCAGGUAGGGCUAGAGAGGAUUAUCUUAGUGUGGUUGCUCAUUUUGUUAAUAAUGAUUGGGAAUUAGAAAAGAGAAUAAUAGGUUUUCGUUUGAUUGACAA
Phragmites australis (common reed) is the source of this 1121-nucleotide long non-coding RNA. RefSeq lists it as uncharacterized. The transcript is spliced from 2 exons. Lineage: Eukaryota; Viridiplantae; Streptophyta; Magnoliopsida; Poales; Poaceae. The record is from RefSeq and is a predicted model, not a curated record.